UACGUAGGGUGCGAGCGUUGUCCGGAAUUACUGGGCGUGAAGAGCUCGUAGGUGGUUUGUCGCGUCGUCUGUGAAAUUCUGGGGCUUAACUCCGGGCGUGCAGGCGAUACGGGCAUAGCUUGAGUACUGUAGGGGAGACUGGAAUUCCAGGUGUAGCGGUGAAAUGCGCAGAUAUCAGGAGGAACACCGGUGGCGAAGGCGGGUCUCUGGGCAGUAACUGACGCUGAGGUACGAAAGCGUGGGUAGCAAACAGG
RNAcentral lists this ribosomal RNA (254 nucleotides) under uncultured bacterium. RNAcentral describes it as "partial 16S ribosomal RNA". It matches the Rfam family "Bacterial small subunit ribosomal RNA", at positions 524 to 776 of the family's 1533-position model. The record is from RNAcentral.